UGACGACCAUAGAGCGUUGGAACCACCUGAUCCCAUCCCGAACUCAGUAGUGAAACGAUGCAUCGCCGAUGGUAGUGUGGAGUUUCUCCAUGUGAGAGUAGGUCAUCGUC
This 110-nucleotide ribosomal RNA is filed under the name Pseudomonas citronellolis. RNAcentral also lists the same sequence under 5 other names. Lineage: Bacteria; Pseudomonadati; Pseudomonadota; Gammaproteobacteria; Pseudomonadales; Pseudomonadaceae. The record is from RNAcentral.